AUUGGACGCUGGCGGCAUGCUUUACACAUGCAAGUCGAACGGCAGCACGGGGGCAACCCUGGUGGCGAGUGGCGAACGGGUGAGUAAUACAUCGGAACGUGCCCGGUCGUGGGGGAUAACGUAGCGAAAGUUACGCUAAUACCGCAUACGAUCUGAGGAUGAAAGCGGGGGACCUUCGGGCCUCGCGCGAUCGGAGCGGCCGAUGUCAGAUUAGGUAGUUGGUGGGGUAAAGGCCUACCAAGCCGACGAUCUGUAGCUGGUCUGAGAGGACGACCAGCCACACUGGGACUGAGACACGGCCCAGACUCCUACGGGAGGCAGCAGUGGGGAAUUUUGGACAAUGGGCGCAAGCCUGAUCCAGCCAUGCCGCGUGCAGGACGAAGGCCUUCGGGUUGUAAACUGCUUUUGUAUGGAACGAAAAGGCUCUGGCUAAUACCUGGGGCUCAUGACGGUACCGGAAGAAUAAGCACCGGCUAACUACGUG
Molecule: ribosomal RNA, 484 nt
Filed under: uncultured bacterium
Lineage: Bacteria
Description: partial 16S ribosomal RNA
Rfam family: Bacterial small subunit ribosomal RNA
Source: RNAcentral